AGUGGCGAACGGGUGCGUAACGCGUACGUAAUCUACCUUUUGGUGGGGGAUACCGACUGGAAACGGUCGUUAAUACCGCAUAAGAAAGCGGGGUCAUAAGAUUCUGUUUUGAAAGGAGCAAUCCGCCGAAAGAUGGGCGUGCGUCCAAUUAGGUAGUUGGCGAGGUAACGGCUCACCAAGCCUACGAUUGGUAACUGGUCUGAGAGGAUGAUCAGUCACACUGGCACUGAGACACGGGCCAGACUCCUACGGGAGGCAGCAGUAGGGAAUAUUGGGCAAUGGGCGCAAGCCUGACCCAGCCACCCCGCGUGAAGGAAGAAGGUUCAUAGAAUUGUAAACUUCUUUUGUCUAGGGAUAAAAGCCGUGUAACUCACGGAAUUGAAGGUACUAGGCGAAUAAGCGCCGGCUAACUACGUGCCAGCAGCCGCGGUAAUACGUAGGGCGCAAGCGUUGUCCGGAUUUACUGGGUUUAAAGGGUGCGUAGGCGGCUUAAUAAGUCUGUGAUGAAAUGUCAGGGCUCAACCUUGGCGCCGUUACGGAUACUGUUAGGCUUGAGUAUAGAUGAGGCUGUUAGAAUGAGUGGUGUAGCGGUGAAAUGCGUAGAGAUCACUCAGAAUACCGAUUGCGAAGGCAGACAGCCGGGCUAUAACUGACGCUGAGGCACGAAAGCGUGGGGAUCAAACAGGAUUAGAUACCCUGGUAGUCCACGCUGUAAACGAUGGAUACUCGA
RNAcentral lists this ribosomal RNA (730 nucleotides) under uncultured bacterium. Its description in RNAcentral is "bacterial SSU rRNA". It matches the Rfam family "Bacterial small subunit ribosomal RNA", at positions 94 to 820 of the family's 1533-position model. The record is from RNAcentral.